CGGGUGGUAGCGCAGUUUGGCAGCGCGCUGCGUUCGGGACGCAGAGGUCGGGAGUUCAAAUCUCCCCCACCCGA
Molecule: transfer RNA, 74 nt
Filed under: Acidimicrobiia bacterium
Lineage: Bacteria; Bacillati; Actinomycetota; Acidimicrobiia
Description: tRNA-Pro
Rfam family: tRNA
About the family: Transfer RNA (tRNA) molecules are approximately 80 nucleotides in length. Their secondary structure includes four short double-helical elements and three loops (D, anti-codon, and T loops). Further hydrogen bonds mediate the characteristic L-shaped molecular structure. tRNAs have two regions of fundamental functional importance: the anti-codon, which is responsible for specific mRNA codon recognition, and the 3' end, to which the tRNAs corresponding amino acid is attached (by aminoacyl-tRNA synthetases). tRNAs cope with the degeneracy of the genetic code in two manners: having more than one tRNA (with a specific anti-codon) for a particular amino acid; and 'wobble' base-pairing, i.e. permitting non-standard base-pairing at the 3rd anti-codon position.
Source: RNAcentral